This is a long non-coding RNA of Cyprinus carpio (common carp), 1350 nucleotides long. RefSeq lists it as uncharacterized. Lineage: Eukaryota; Metazoa; Chordata; Actinopteri; Cypriniformes; Cyprinidae. The transcript has 3 exons. The record is from RefSeq and is a predicted model, not a curated record.
UGUUAUGCUUUCAGAAGAACAAUAAAGUGGAUAUCUCACAAGAUCUGUCCCAAAACCUAGUGAUCAAUGGCAGCAUCUCAUGUAUCUUUAUUGUAUUUACGUGUUGUAUUGUUAGUUUUAAAUCAAUAUGAGUUAAUACAUUUUCUCUGCUUUUCACAUGAGCAGUGGUAUUUGAGUUGCUGUCUUGUUCCAAAUCACACAUGAUCUGAAGGGAAAAUCUGCAUGAUGUAUUUCAGCUUGUUAAAUGAAUGACCGUAUUCCAGUUCUGUGGGAAUCCGAGGAGUUUUUGAGGGUACAUCAUUACUGUGGGCCUGCCAAUUUCUUUUCAUCUCAGAAGGUCGCUGCCUACUCAAUUUGGAAUGGCGCUAUAAAGUUGUCGUUUAUAGUCAAACAGCAUUUACCCUGUCAGGAAGUAAUGUGUUUGUUCUGCAGGUCUUGUUGGAGCUCCCCGUGGGCUGAUGGGAUUGUUGCCGAACAGAUUGUGCAGGUGUAAGAGGAGCGCUCCUCAACGACGUGGCACCUGUCCAAAGCACUCAACAGCGACACACGGGCCUCCGAGACAUGACUGAACGCAAAGAGAACUGCUGCUGCUAUAAAACACCAUCACAUCUCAACACUUUGAAUUACCGUAAAAUGUGCUCUAUCAGUAAACUGGCCUCGCCGUGCUACCUGGAAAUGAAAGUCUGAUAGGGACCCACCCGAAGGACGCUCUAUGAUCACAGCUCUGUGUUUUCCUCAGUAGUUCCUUCUGCUAUGAGUAGCAUUUACACAGAGACAUUCGCUAAUCGCUACAAUAAGAGACAUCUGCUUAUUACCUGAUAAUAAUGAUUAUUGCUCUUUUGUGGUUAUGUGCAGCCAGCGGAGCAUCCAUUUCUACAGGGCCUCGUGGUUUAUGGCUGAUACAAGCAAACUUAUGGCAAUUUUUCCUUGUGGUACAAAAGAACACUUCAAGUAAUCACUGCUAUAAAGACCAAAGGACCAUAGUGCAUUGAUGCAAGGUCACAUGGUUUAUUUGACCUUUUUACAUGGUUUAUUUUAUUGCUUUGAUGAAGCUUAAAUCAGUUUUAUAUGGUGGUAAUGCCAUGUAUUACGCUGUCAAUGGCCUUGAUUUUAUAUCCAUAUCAUUUUAAUUCAUAAGCAAUAAGCAAAACCUAAUUUUUGAGCCUUACACCAGAUCUGAUGGGACUCUUUUCCUCGAAUGAAGCUUAGGGCACUUAACAUGUCUCAUAAGUUUCAUAUCUGGUUGAAUUGCGUUUCUCAUUUGGAGGAGGGUCGUUCCUGAUCCUGCUUUACAGUAUUGCAUAAGAGUUUAAUGUUGCUAAGAUGUUUUUAAAAGAAGUCUCUUCAGCU